RNAcentral lists this ribosomal RNA (497 nucleotides) under uncultured bacterium. RNAcentral describes it as "partial 16S ribosomal RNA". It matches the Rfam family "Bacterial small subunit ribosomal RNA", at positions 28 to 507 of the family's 1533-position model. The record is from RNAcentral.
GAUGAACGCUGGCGGCGUGCCUAAUACAUGCAAGUCGAGCGAACAGACGAGGAGCUUGCUCCUCUGACGUUAGCGUCGGACGGGUGAGUAACACGUGGAUAACCUACCUAUAAGACUGGGAUAACUUCGGGAAACCGGAGAUAAUACCGGAUAAUAUAUUGAACCGCAUGGUUCAGUAGUGAAAGACGGUUUUGCUGUCACUUAUAGAUGGAUCCGCGCCGCAUUAGCUAGUUGGUAAGGUAACGGCUUACCAAGGCAACGAUGCGUAGCCGACCUGAGAGGGUGAGCGGCCACACUGGAACUGAGACACGGUCCAGACUCCUACGGGAGGCAGCAGUAGGGAAUCUUCCGCAAUGGGCGAAAGCCUGACGGAGCAACGCCGCGUGAGUGAUGAAGGUCUUCGGAUCGUAAAACUCUGUUAUUAGGGAAGAACAAAUGUGUAAGUAACUAUGCACGUCUUGACGGUACCUAAACAGAAAGCCACGGCUAACUACGUG